Molecule: ribosomal RNA, 406 nt
Filed under: uncultured bacterium
Lineage: Bacteria
Description: partial 16S ribosomal RNA
Rfam family: Bacterial small subunit ribosomal RNA
Source: RNAcentral
AUUGAACGCUGGCGGCAGGCCUAACACAUGCAAGUCGAACGAGUGGCGGACGGGUGAGUAAUGUCUGGGAAACUGCCUGAUGGAGGGGGAUAACUACUGGAAACGGUAGCUAAUACCGCAUACACUCAGAUGUGCCCAGAUGGGAUUAGCUUGUUGUGGGGGUAACGGGUCACGAAGGCGACGAUCCCUAGCUGGUCUGAGAGGAUGACCAGCCAGACUGGGACAGAUGCACGGUCCAGACGCCUACUGGAGGCAGGAGUGGGGAAUAUUCCUCAAUGGGCGCAAGCCUGAUGCAGCCAUGCCGCGUGUAUGAAGAAGGCCUUCGGGUUGUAAAGUCCUUUCAGCGGGGAGGCGUUACCCGCAGAAGAAGCACCGGCUAACUCCGUGCUAGCAGCCGCGGUAAUUC